Molecule: ribosomal RNA, 583 nt
Filed under: uncultured bacterium
Lineage: Bacteria
Description: partial 16S ribosomal RNA
Rfam family: Bacterial small subunit ribosomal RNA
Source: RNAcentral
UGGGGAAUAUUGCACAAUGGGCGCAAGCCUGAUGCAGCCAUGCCGCGUGUGUGAAGAAGGCCUUCGGGUUGUAAAGCACUUUCAGCGAGGAGGAAGGUGGUGAGCUUAAUACGCUCAUCAAUUGACGUUACUCGCAGAAGAAGCACCGGCUAACUCCGUGCCAGCAGCCGCGGUAAUACGGAGGGUGCAAGCGUUAAUCGGAAUUACUGGGCGUAAAGCGCACGCAGGCGGUUUGUUAAGUCAGAUGUGAAAUCCCCGGGCUCAACCUGGGAACUGCAUUUGAAACUGGCAAGCUAGAGUCUCGUAGAGGGGGGUAGAAUUCCAGGUGUAGCGGUGAAAUGCGUAGAGAUCUGGAGGAAUACCGGUGGCGAAGGCGGCCCCCUGGACGAAGACUGACGCUCAGGUGCGAAAAGCGUGGGGAGCAAAACAGGAUUAGAUACCCUGGUAGUCCACGCUGUAAAACGAUGUCGAUUUUGGAGGUUGUGCCCUUGAGGCGUGGCUUCCGGAGCUAACGCGUUAAAUCGACCGCCUGGGGAGUACGGCCGCAAGGUUAAAACUCAAAGGAAUUGACGGGGUCUAGCUG